Molecule: ribosomal RNA, 468 nt
Filed under: uncultured bacterium
Lineage: Bacteria
Description: partial 16S ribosomal RNA
Rfam family: Bacterial small subunit ribosomal RNA
Source: RNAcentral
GACGAACGCUGGCGGCGUGCUUAACACAUGCAAGUCGAACGGAAAGGCCCUGCUUUUGUGGGGUGCUCGAGUGGCGAACGGGUGAGUAACACGUGAGUAACCUGCCCUUGACUUUGGGAUAACUUCAGGAAACUGGGGCUAAUACCGGAUAGGAGCUCCUGCUGCAUGGUGGGGGUUGGAAAGUUUCGGCGGUUGGGGAUGGACUCGCGGCUUAUCAGCUUGUUGGUGGGGUAGUGGCUUACCAAGGCUUUGACGGGUAGCCGGCCUGAGAGGGUGACCGGCCACAUUGGGACUAAGAUACGGCCCAGACUCCUACGGGAGGCAGCAGUGGGGAAUAUUGCACAAUGGGCGGAAGCCUGAUGCAGCAACGCCGCGUGCGGGAUGACGGCCUUUGGGUUGUAAACCGCUUUCGCCUGUGACGAAGCGUGAGUGACGGUAAUGGGUAAAGAAGCACCGGCUAACUACGUG